This is a non-coding RNA of Chlorocebus sabaeus (green monkey), 557 nucleotides long. NCBI's taxonomy places the organism in Eukaryota, Metazoa, Chordata, Mammalia, Primates, Cercopithecidae. The record is from RefSeq and is a predicted model, not a curated record.
ACUAUCCUGCCUUCCAACUGCAUAAGUUAACUUUGCCUGUUUUUGCAGAUGCCACUGGGAUCAUACAGUGUGCGCUCUUCUGGAACUUCCCAGAUCUCCAUGUGCCCUCACCUUCAGUGACAGUCUGAGAAGAAGCCAGGUGGGGUUGCUCCCCACAUGGUCAGGGCUGCUGCCAAAUGCCACUCAUCUCACCGUCACCUGCUGCCUCUCUGCCUGCCCCGUGGCCCAUGGUUCUCUGACAUCUCUCUCUCACUGAGGACUGUCCACUGAGAGGUCUGGAAACAAUGACACUCCUAGAACAAUGAGCACAUCUAGCACCCAGAUCUUGGCUUCUACACAUCAUUCUCUAUUAAAAGAAAGAAGCAUCCCUUGGAGCAAUGGCUGAUUCCAGAGCUGUGGCAGAGAAAGUACAAGAUGAGUCUGGAACAUCUUGCUGUGACAGAAAGUAAGCAAGUGCUCAAAGAAUUAUGGCAAUAGAAACCAGCUUGGCAGCUGGACAAAAUCUGGGAAAUUUUAAGCAUCAAAAUAAAUAAUGAGGUAAUGAGGAAAACACUCAA